RNAcentral lists this ribosomal RNA (325 nucleotides) under uncultured eukaryote. RNAcentral describes it as "partial 18S ribosomal RNA". It matches the Rfam family "Eukaryotic small subunit ribosomal RNA", at positions 1470 to 1796 of the family's 1831-position model. The record is from RNAcentral.
CCCUUAGAUGUUCUGGGCCGCACGCGCGCCACACUGAUGCAUUCAACAAGUUCUACCUUGGCCGAGAGGCCUGGGAAAUCUUUCAAAUAUGUAUCGUGAUAGGGAUAGAUUAUUGCAAUUAUUAAUCUUGAACGAGGAAUUCCUAGUAAAUGCAGAUCAUCAUUCUGCGUUGAUUACGUCCCUGCCCUUUGUACACACCGCCCGUCGCACCUACCGAUUGAAUGAUCCGGUGAAGCCUCGGGAUUGUGCCCAGAGAACUUUAUUGUGAUUUGGGUGUGAGAACUUGUCUAAACCUUAUCAUUUAGAGGAAGGUGAAGUCGUAACA